CGAACGCUGGCGGCGUGCUUAACACAUGCACGUCGAACGGAAAGGCCCUGCUUUUGUGGGGUGCUCGAGUGGCGAACGGGUGAGUAACACGUGAGUAACCUGCCCUUGACUUUGGGAUAACUUCAGGAAACUGGGGCUAAUACCGGAUAGGAGCUCCUGCUGCAUGGUGGGGGUUGGAAAGUUUCGGCGGUUGGGGAUGGACUCGCGGCUUAUCAGCUUGUUGGUGGGGUAGUGGCUUACCAAGGCUUUGACGGGUAGCCGGCCUGAGAGGGUGACCGGCCACAUUGGGACUGAGAUACGGCCCAGACUCCUACGGGAGGCAGCAGUGGGGAAUAUUGCACAAUGGGCGGAAGCCUGAUGCAGCAACGCCGCGUGCGGGAUGAUGGCCUUCGGGUUGUAAACCGCUUUCGCCUGUGACGAAGCGUGAGUGACGGUAAUGGGUAAAGAAGCACCGGCUAACUACGUG
Molecule: ribosomal RNA, 466 nt
Filed under: uncultured bacterium
Lineage: Bacteria
Description: partial 16S ribosomal RNA
Rfam family: Bacterial small subunit ribosomal RNA
Source: RNAcentral